CAUCUGCAAAAGAUGAGUUCAAAUUGCACAUUACACACAAGUUUUUAAUUGCAUUUUCAGUACACUCCCAACAUUUUUACACAGAUCUGGGAGUCUUCAUGUGUGCACACAGCCAUAGAUACUCACAAACUAUUUGUAAAAGCUUAGAAGCCUCAACAGACCUUUUUUUUUCCAUUCUGCGUUGUCAACUGAAAUAGUGCAGGUGCUUUGCUCUUUUGUAGUUGUGCAGUAGUAAAUAACAAACCUGGCUUCUGCUCUUUAACACUUAAUUAUGCACUGAUUUUAACACUCAGCACAGUUUUUUUUUUUUUUUUUUCCCCUCUUUUUUCUUUGGUUUCUAUCAAACACCAAACCGUUUAAAAAACAGGAAUCUAAUUGGAGCAGAGUGUUGAGUUUAUGGGUAUAACAAGAGGUGAUUUCUAAACGCUAAGUAACAGAAAUGCAUCAGUAGGGCUUAGUUUUGAAUAGCAUGGAAAGGUUUAAAUUCACAAUAGAAUAAGUAGCAUUCAUUUGUGUAGUUUGCUCUGAGAACUAAAGAACUAAUGCUCACUUAGAUGCAGAUAGUUUAAUGCUAACCUAAAAACUGAGUACAUGCAGAGGAUGUUGCUAGAAUUUGCAUUCCUGUCAUUCUUUGUUCACGUUCAAAAUUAUUAAUCAUGAUCACAUACUUUACUUUUCUGCAGGAGAUGUGCUUCAUUCCAUGCAUGAGUGGGCAGUAGUGACUCCUAAUUUCUUUCAAGCUGUGUUCCUGGAUAGUUACAUUCCUUCUGUAACGACAUGGCCAGAAAAAUAAAUGAAAAUCAAACAUAAUAAUUGCAAAUGGAAUAAACCACUAAUAUUUCAUGUUAUAAUUAUUCAAAAUCAGGGUGCUUUAUAUUAAAGCAAUUUAAUGUCAGUGGGAUGUAGAUCUUUUGACAAAGUUUGGCAUUUCUGGUGGAGACAUGAGAUACAGACAUUAUUGGUGACUCUCCAAGGUAUCAAUCUAGUGGACGGACACUUAGCCCUGCCCAGCUGUAUGGAUUUUGGUGCUGCUCAUAUUUGGAGUUAAAGCAUAUCAGUGAUGUAUAUGGUGUGCACAUUUACACUUGCUCCAGUGUAUUGCUCCUAAAUUGACUACCGUGUCCAAAUAAAUACUAAAAAUAAAAUACAUACCAAAUAAAUACUAAUAAUACUAAAUUUUAAGGUUUUGGCCAUAAGCAGGUGACUCUUAGAAAGGCUUCUGGCCUUCAUCACCACAUCCUGCAUUCUGAUUAAAGCAUGUUUGCUUUCUUGGAUGGGGCCUAUUUUCACCGUAGGUGAAUUUGCUUGGCACAAAGAAAAAAAGAAACUCAUCUGGUUUAGUCCUAACCGUCAUACAUGAUUUUUGUUGUUUUAAACUUAAAGCUUCAUCUUUACUGCUGUACUUAACUUUAUCCACUGAGUCUUUUAAAAUUGAAUUUAAACAUUAGAGUGAAAUAGUCUUUGGUAACAAGCUGUUUACAAAUGGUCUUUUUGUAGAAGUACAUACUACAGCAUUAUAUAUCUCAAAUUGAUGCAUCUGUUUAUCCAUAUAACAACAGAUGUCAGUAAAGCACAGUUAGGAUGAGAAACGUUGCUUCUACAAACAUCCUUUCAGCUUCAGGUUAUUUAUUCUGUGCUGCAGAAUUGACAAAAUCAAGUGGGAGGAUAAAGCAUUCAUCUUUUAGGGUUACAUUGAAAUGAAAUGGAACUUUCAUUAUAAGAAGUCAUAUUUUAUCCGUUCCACGUUGUAAGGGAUACAAACUGUAACUAUAGCUUGAGCUAUUUUUCCUUCUGUUCCACAGGUUACAGACUAAUUAAGAAUACUGCUGUUGUGCUGUGUGCUACUGAGAACAUGUAAAUUCCAGGGUUUUUUUUUUUCCUAUACAGUUUAGAACUGUUCCAGAGGUUUCAAAUAUAUACAGGUAUUCCAGGAAACUCAUGGGAAGCAUUCUUGAGAAAGCUAGUGCCUCUUUAGAUUCUACUUUGUCACUUCUCUUGGAUGCUAAGUAGGAGUAAGGCUCCAUCAAGACAAGCACGGUAUUAGAAAAAAGUACAAUCCAAAACUGAAUAGAGAUGAGUUUUUAACUCACACUAACUAUAGCUUUUGUUUCAGUAAUUAUGUGAUCUUAGGCUCUUUUGGAAGGACCGGUGAGAUGUGGACGUAGUGUGUGACAGCAGUAUAGGGGAGCUGAGGGGAAGCAAUGUGGAGGAUAACUAAGUUUGCUCUAAUCACACUAUUGUGCCUCCAAUCCCCAACACCCCCCAAUCAAAAAAAAAAAGCAAGUUUGCAAGUCUGCACAUACUCACUGUGGAAGCUUGAUGUGUGGGGCCUUCAGAUGGGGCUGGAGAAGGUGGCAGAAAUUCCCUCACCAAAAGUGUCGGUGGGAGUCAAAGUACAGCUCCAAUGCAGGUGACGCUACUGAAAUUACGAGGCAAAAGCACCAGACGUUGGUGUUAGUGCUUGUAAUGUGAAUGCUAGGGCUCCACCACGUGGUUAAAGCUGUGCUCUGUGCACAGGCUGGGCUCUCAGCCCUGGGCUGCAGCAACCAGAUCAUUAGAGGAAAUUUGGCAGUGAACUUGGUUAGCUUCAUUCGAUGCUCCAUGAUAGCUGCACAAUUACAGUGCCAUUUUCUUCACUUCUGCUGCUUCGCAGGUUUUUGAAUACAAGCACGUAGUGACUGGAAAAACACUACUUUGAAUGCAGCAGUUGAUAAGGAAAACAAAUACGUAUUUCUUAAAAUAUAAAAAUCAUGAAGUGUUUACUGCUAAAGUAGUGGCAGCACAAACAGCUUUGCUGUACUUAGGUAUGAUAUCAUCAGCAUGGUGACUUCAGCGCAAGGAUGUAUGCCAUAGCAGAUUCACACAAAGCUGAGAAGAUACCAAAUCAGUAGAGGCUGUGCCAGGAGUAUAAUUUAUCAGGCAUGCAGUACAUCGAGCUUCUCUGCCCACGUGUGCCAGGAAUACGUACUGUGUAACGUCAGGGAAGCCUGGCAGAUCUCACUCCUUGAAAAGACAAUGCAACUUAGGUGAGACCGUUUUUAGAAGCUGAUAGAAAUAACCAUUAACUGUAGAGCUGUGAAGCACAACGCUGCUGGGUUGGACUCUGCAUGAAUGUCACACGACACCUUCAGGAGACAGUUUGGACUACAAUUUUUGAUUCUUUUAAUUCUAUACCUUUCUAUUAUUAAACAGAAUAGUAAAAAAGACAGUAAGUACCUACCAGAGUAAUGUACCAUGAAUAAAACUGCUUUUCUCCUGUAGCUAAAAGGCAGGAUAUGUGAUGAUCUUUCAUAAGGUGUAUUUGGUGCAGAAUGAGGUUUUCCUAGUGCCCUGUGUGCACUUCACUAUCGAUCUCAAGCCAGACUGUUGCAUAUAACCACAAGAUAACAAUUGGAUGUCAUUCAAAAUAUUUUUUCAAGGACGUUUUUGACCUUAAGUAAUAGGUAGCCCUUCCAGACCUAAUGAUGAAAGGAUUUUGUUUCUGGAAGCUAAAAGCAGACAAAUGCUUCAGGAACUGCAAUACCUAACAGGAAAGUCUCAUGGCAGCAGUAGAAAAUAGUUCAGAAUUUCCUAUAACAGAACUUAAUUGAGAAGUCCUACUGUCAAUAGCAAUAAUGAUAAAAAAAGCUGUUUAGGCUUUUAGUUAACUCCAUCUAUGGGUGGUGAAAUGCUAUAGAUUAUAAUCUGUACAGUAAUUUUAGUAUCCUCCUGGGUUCAUUUUAAAAAAGGAAACUGACAAGUAUCCUACAAAUUCUAUAUGCUUUAUAUUCUUUAAAUACCUUUUUUUGUACGGUAACACCUGUCUAGUUUCUUCAAAGCGUUUAAAACAUUUUCAGCACUCAGAGAAGCAGCAGCUUCAUCUUCAAGAUCCACCUGAAUUGAAAUGUCUUGGACAUCAUGGGUUCACUAAAUGACAGAUUGAAAACAGCAAAUCAGCACUCUCUGUAGCAAGGCUGACUGGGCAGAGGUCUCAGCAGUACCUCUUCUGUGUAGAAAUGGGCUCCUUACACAAAUUCUGCUCAGCUGGGGAAGGUUUGCCUGUAGGAAUAAGAAACUGUGAAAGGAUUGUCAGCAUCCUUACCAAAUAUUUGCUUGACAGGAGGAUGUCUAACCAAGCUAAUUCAAAGGAUGUGAUACGUGCCUGUGCUCCACUGUCAUUUGCCUUUGUCACAGUGCUACUGUUUUAAUUUAUUUUUGUUUUGGACAUUAGGACCAACUGCUUGUGUCCAUCUGCGCGUGCUAAAGCAUACGUUGUGAUUUGUAAGUGGUUACAAGCAAGACUUUAAGUGUGAUUCACCAAAAUUUGUCAUCAGUAUUUGUACAAAGCAUUCUGGAGUAAAGCUCUGAGGGGGCUGGAAAGUACUUUUAUUUUUUCUCUGCUUAAGGAAUAACGUCAUCCCUUUGUAUAUUAAUGGAUUGGAUCACGCGUUGUGUUUUUUGGCAAGGACAUUAACAUGCAUUAGGAGUUCUUGUUCUAUCAAGGCUUUGUUUGAUGACUGGUCUGAAAACCUCAGCUCAGAAUUGGGAUGAAGUAUGAGUACGACGUGUAUUUAAUGUUUGAAAAUCUGUGCAUUUCAGUAAACACUUUCAGCUAUCUUAGAAGUUACGUUGAUAAAAUGAUCAGUUUUCCUCUUCAGCUCUGUUCUCAAGAUGUCCUUGCUAAGAAGGGGACUGUAAGUCACAUCAGUCUGGCAAGUAUUUUGAUUUCAAUAUUGUAAGACUUUUUAGCUUGAGGUCACGUUGAGCUCUGGUAAUGUAGAAAUUGGCUUUAAAGCUCUAUCAGGACAGUCAGAAGAGCCCAAUUGUUUCUGAUUUAAAGGCAAUGUAUAUUUUAAAUGGCCUUUUGGUAAGGCAGUUUAACAAUUAAUGUCAUGUUAUAAGGCCUUAAUAAGUUUAUUAAAAAUAUUUUAAAAAUCGUGAUUAAGUAGAAUAAAAACAGUGAUUUCUUAAGAAUUAUAAAUAUUGGAGUCAGACUCCAGCUGCAUGGUUAUGGUCCUAGAUUUUAUUACUUAAACUACUGAAGAAAUGUAGAUCUGCAUAUGAUGUUUCUCAUAGACAUUUUCUUAUAUUUCAGAUGAGAGAUUACAUCUGUGGAACGCUAAUAGUAUUUUUUCUGUAACAGACAAGUUUAAUGACUACAGUUGCUAUAACUGCUGCAGCUUGCUAGCUGUUUAGUUAAGUACAUUAAGACCCAAACAGUUGGUAAACUUUUGAAAUGAAGGAAUCUUGCCUUUACAGCAACAUUAUUGCAUGACUGGAGAGAGGGGAUUUUUUUUUCCUCCCCCAUGACCAAUAUUGUACACUGUAAAUAUUUACAGUUCACUUAAGUUGUCUUUAUUAAAGCACCAUUCUUUGGACAUCACCUCUGAAGAUGCCUGCACUGUGGGAUGAGGUAGUAGGUUGUAUAGUUUUAGGGUCAUACCCACAACUGGGAGAUAACUAUACAAUCUACUGUCUUUCCUAAAGCAGCAGAAAAUCAACAAUGGAGACUGUUCCGUUUUAAGCUCAGUGUCAGAUUCUACCAAAGUUCUGCACUUGGAGUGUUUAUUAUAGGAGACAAAUAUUUCUGCAACAUCUACAGUGCAGUACCACCGUUGUUCUGGUAGGACUUGCUCCAGAUGUGCUCUGCUGUGGGAUACAGAGACCCUCAACUGCUGAUCAUCUCGUAAGAUUAAUGGCUUAUGCUUUCAGCAGACAGUUCUUAAGGUUCUGGCAAGACAGAAUCCUAGAUAUUAUAAAAAUAUUUAGUAUGCUAAUAGAAAUUGUCUAUUCAUUGAAGUGUACACAUUUGAUUUACUCAAUAAAGGGAGUUUAUGGAACUCUUAUGGUGAAUUGACUUUACUUUCUACAUAAUAAGGAAGAGAAUUUUACUGAAAAACACUGCUCAUACUAUGGAAGUAAAACGAAGACCACAUUAAAAAAGGUUUUAACAGGAAUUAGUGUUAACUAAAAAAAUUCCAGUGUAAAUUGUGAUUUUUGAUGAGACUUCACUGACAAGAAAGGAGAUGAAUGUACAAUAUUACUGUUGAAUGUGUAGGAAUUCUGCUUACUCCAGAGCUGUUAUCUGAGCAUAAGUUUUAACUGUUGCUCAUGAAUGUAAACUUUUGAGAAGGUGAGCUCUUCUCUUGACUGCACCUUAAUUUUUGCAUACAGUUGGUAAGGCAUCUUAGGUACUAUUCAGAUACCCUGAAGUUUCAUUUUUUGCAGUUUAAAAUGCCUUGAAAGCUUCAGCAUACUGAACACUAAUCUGUGUAUAACGUGCAUGCUUAUGAAAGACUUAAUAAUCAGAUCAGUGCUAGCAACUACAACGCUCCAUGCUAUGUUAUUAAAGCCUGUGUUAGGGAAGAACUAUAACUAGAUGAAAAACAGCAGCUGCAUAAGCCUGUUAAUAUUCAGUUUGGUGUAAUAUGCAAGUUUUAGGCUUAAUAUGUAGAUAUCUAUCCUGCUAAUGCAACACUUCAUAUUACUACCAUCAGUGCUGCUGGCUCUUUUAACUUUGGAAGACAAAAAAGUACAUGUAGCUUUUAAUUUGUUUGACUGAAGUUGUAUACAUCUCAACAUUGAAAAAAGGCACUGAUCAGAAAACAUUAAGUCCCUCUUGAUGGACUCUCAAGUGCUAUUUAGGUAAAAGUACCUGAACUUUGGGAUUAAUAUCUCCAUAUACUUUCAAAGUAUUGUAAGCAGAGCCAUGUCGUAUACGGUCCCUCUUAUACAACAACAUAAGCAGCCUUAAGAAAAGCAGUUAAUGCUCAGUUCAUUAUUUUUAAAUAGUUAAUUAGUUCUUUAUUUAAGGAUACUAAUCCCAGCCCCUCAUCUUUCCAGUAGUGACUAUCUCACUCAUGGCAGGUGCAGGCAUUUCCUUCCUUGUAACUGGAAGCAGCUUGAUAAAGUGACAAGGCUCAAACCAGUAAAGAAUUAUGCUGUGGUUCAGCUCUCAUAUAACAGUCAGAUUAUUUCUUUCUUUGAUGACCUGCAGGUUCCACUCUGUGAAUGGUAUCUACUUAACAGAGUACACGAUUUGUUUGCCUUUUUCUACUUGUAUAUGCAGUGAGGGGUCCAAGGAUGAGGUGGUAGUGCAGAAAGAAGCCUUCCACUCGAGAAACAGUAGCUAAAGAAUGCAUAGCAAACAGUGCAGAAAAGUUUGCAGUAACAGUAGAGACAUGUUUACCACCCAUACUGAAGUAGUUUUGUCACGGUGGUCUUGGAAGCAUUCCAGUAGAGCUCUGAAAAUAGAAUAUAGCUUCUAUGCUGUUCCACAUCCCAGGAGAAUUAUUUGUGUUCCCUGCCUUUCCAUGCAGGAAGGUGUGCUUGAACAUCUUCCUGGUAAAAUGAAACCUAACACCUGCUGAGAUUUUUCUAUACCAGAAAACAUUACCAGCAAACACUUUCAUUUCCGAGGAGACUUUGAGCACUUAGUGCCGUGUUCACAACCUAUGAACUUAAUGCAUUAAGAAUUACCUUUGCUAUGCUGCCUUACGGAUCUAGGAUUGCGGCAGGCACCAUAUUAAAAUAGUGUUGCCACAAGAAUUACUGUGAGAUUUCUGCAUAGCUUUGAGAUAACAAAGCUCCUAAGGAACAUAUUCCACCACACAUUAGUCUUACCAUAGACUAAAAGGUGUUCUCUGCUAGAGUUUGUCUGGUUGGCAAAGUCUGCAUUCUUAUUCUUAACCAUUAGUUUUCCUUCGUGCUUCUUUAUGCUUGCAGAGGGAACAAAUGCAAGGAAAAACCUCUUGCUGUUAAACACAUACAGAGAGAUGUUGCAACAUGCACUUAGAACUUCCAUAUUAUUUAGAUUUAGAUUUUUGGACUGCUCGAUCCAGUACAGUGGCCUUUUGCAUCACCAAAAUGUAGCCCUUGCUGACUUUGGGCAAGCAUCAGGCCUGGCUCACUAACAGGUACACAUAGGCAGUUCAUCAUCUCUUGAAUUUACAAGCAGUCUGUGUAAAAUAUCUGAUAUGUGUAAAGGAAAAAAAAAAAAAAAGAUGCCUGAAAUGCACUGAUUGGAACAGACAAGCGUGUCAAGUUCAGCUGAAUAUUAGUGGGUUCAGCUGAAACUCCCAAACCACGUCACUCAGCUCCAGAAGCAUCGGUGCCAGGUGUAGCUUUCAGACCUCUGCUAAGCUUUAAGGGCCCCAGCAGAUGAUACAGCUGGAUUCAAUCAAAAAAAAGCAGAUUUCAUCUAACAAGCCUUUGUGUAUUUUAUGAAAUCAUUCUGUGAAGACAAGUUGUGACAGGAACUACUGGAAGCAUCAGAUGGCAGUGCAUGUUUUGUUGCAAUUCAAGAAAUAAGAUUUGUCUUAUUGCAUGUACAAUGUUACUGGAAUUUUGUUUUUGACUAUUAAACCCACGACAGCAAAGAGUUUGUAAAACACUACUGUUUUGAAGAUUGCUGAAAUACAGAGUUGUCGCAAGUCAUAGUGCUUCUAAGGACUGCAUUUUGGGAAACUGAAAUGGUCCCAUCUGAUAUAGGAGAAUUUAAAUGAAAAAAAAAAAA
Non-coding RNA from Meleagris gallopavo (turkey), 8494 nucleotides. NCBI's taxonomy places the organism in Eukaryota, Metazoa, Chordata, Aves, Galliformes, Phasianidae. The record is from RefSeq and is a predicted model, not a curated record.